GGUGUCGCCUAGCGGUUAGGGCAACGGACUUUGACUCCGUCAUCGCUGGUUCAAAUCCAGCCAUC
Molecule: transfer RNA, 65 nt
Filed under: bovine gut metagenome
Rfam family: tRNA
About the family: Transfer RNA (tRNA) molecules are approximately 80 nucleotides in length.
Source: RNAcentral